CGUCAAAUCAUCAUGCCCCUUAUGUCUUGGGCGACACACGUGCUACAAUGGCUGUAACAAAGCGAAGCGAAGCGGCGACGCGGAGCAAAGCGCAAAAAAGCAGUCUCAGUUCGGAUUGCAGUCUGCAACUCGACUGCAUGAAGCUGGAAUCGCUAGUAAUCGCGAAUCAGCAUGUCGCGGUGAAUACGUUCCCGGGCCUU
Molecule: ribosomal RNA, 200 nt
Filed under: uncultured prokaryote
Description: partial 16S ribosomal RNA
Rfam family: Bacterial small subunit ribosomal RNA
Source: RNAcentral